AGGACGAACGCUGGCGGCGUGCUUAACACAUGCAAGUGGAGCGACGAACCAGGGCUUGCCCUGGGGCAGAGCCGCGAACGGGUGAGUAACACGUGGGUUACCUGCCUUGAUGACCGGGACAACCCGAGGAAACUCGGGCUAAUACCGGAUGUGCCCGCAAGGGGAAAGGAAGCUUCGGCCUCCGCAUCAAGAUGGGCCCGCGGCCCAUUAGCUUGUUGGUGAGGUAACGGCUCACCAAGGCUUCGAUGGGUAGCUGGUCUGAGAGGACGAUCAGCCACACUGGGACUGAGAUACGGCCCAGACUCCUACGGGGGGCAGCAAUUAGGAAUCUUGCACAAUGGGCGAAAGCCUGAUGCAGCGACGUCGCGUGGGGGACGAAAUCUUUCGGGAUGUAAACCCCUUUUACCAGGGAAGAAUAAAAUGACGGUACCUGGUGAAUAAGCCCCGGCUAACUACGUGCCAGCAGCCGC
RNAcentral lists this ribosomal RNA (470 nucleotides) under uncultured bacterium. RNAcentral describes it as "SSU rRNA". It matches the Rfam family "Bacterial small subunit ribosomal RNA", at positions 26 to 518 of the family's 1533-position model. The record is from RNAcentral.